This 60-nucleotide transfer RNA is filed under the name Oxalis acetosella (European wood-sorrel). RNAcentral describes it as "partial tRNA-Leu". The record is from RNAcentral. Lineage: Eukaryota; Viridiplantae; Streptophyta; Magnoliopsida; Oxalidales; Oxalidaceae.
CCUUGGUAUGGAAAAUCCGUCGACUUUAGAAAUCGUGAGGGUUCAAGUCCCUCUAUCCCC